UACGUAGGGGGCAAGCGUUGUCCGGAAUCAUUGGGCGUAAAGGGCGUGUAGGCGGCUUGGCAAGUCUGGUGUGAAAUCUUGCGGCUCAACCGCAAGCGGUCACUGGAAACUGCCUCGCUAGAGUCCGGAAGAGGAGAGCGGAAUUCCUGGUGUAGCGGUGGAAUGCGUAGAGAUCGGGAAGAACAUCAGUGGCGAAGGCGGCCUGCUGGGCUGUUGCUGACGCUGAGGCGCGAAAGCGUGGGGAGCAAACAGG
RNAcentral lists this ribosomal RNA (253 nucleotides) under uncultured bacterium. RNAcentral describes it as "partial 16S ribosomal RNA". It matches the Rfam family "Bacterial small subunit ribosomal RNA", at positions 524 to 776 of the family's 1533-position model. The record is from RNAcentral.